CCUACGGGAGGCAGCAGUGGGGAAUAUUGCACAAUGGGCGAAACCCUGAUGCAGCGACGCCGCGUGGGUGAAGAAGCGCCUCGGCGCGUAAAGCCCUGUCAGCAGGGAAGAAAAUGACGGUAUCUGAAGAAGAAGCACCGGCUAACUACGUGCCAGCAGCCGCGGUAAGACGUAGGGGGCAAGCGUUAUACGGAUUUACUGGGUGUAAAGGGGGCGCAGACGGCGAGGCAAGCCAGGAGUGAAAGCCCCGGGCCCAACCACGGGACUGCUCGUGGAACUGGCUGGCUUGAGUGCAGGAGGGGCAGGCGGAAUUCCUGGUGUAGCGGUGAAAUGCGUAGAGAUCAGGAGGAACACCGGUGGCGAAGGCGGCCUGCUGGACUGCAACUGACGUUGAGGCCCGAAAGCGUGGGGAGCAAACAGGAUUAGAUACCCGGGUAGUC
This 440-nucleotide ribosomal RNA is filed under the name uncultured bacterium. Its description in RNAcentral is "partial 16S ribosomal RNA". It matches the Rfam family "Bacterial small subunit ribosomal RNA", at positions 338 to 795 of the family's 1533-position model. The record is from RNAcentral.